GGCAGCGUGCAUGUGCGGUAGUUGCGUAAUGACCGAGCUUGGUUCGUCCGUGUUCUGAUAUGACGGACCUAUCCGUAGUCGGUCUGGUAUGUUUCCGACGGCUUAUGUUUGAUCUAGAUAGAAUUCGAACGAAGCUUUAUCUCGGGAACAUACGUUGCGACGUUUUCUUGACCGAGCAUGAUUUGCUGCGGAAAGACAUACUUGUAUUCUGCGGGGAUUUGGACGUUAAUUUCGUCGUAACCGUUUUCGAACUCAACAUACGUCGUAGUUGUUCAUGGUUAGAAAGGGGUGAAAACAAAUAAAAGAUGGAUUAUAAAAUCUAGAAAUGAUAGAAAAAUAGAGGGCUGGAAUUUUCAAAAAAAAGAAAACACUUGCUUAUUGCAUAUGACUUGUCACGUGUGAAUUAGCUGGCUAAAAAUAUUAUAAAAGUGGCCAAUACUAAACAUCAAACUCCAAUUAUCCAUCAGCGUACUACGAAAUCAUCCACCACCCAGAAAUCGUGUAAAGGCAUUGUUGGUUGAUGGAACAACAUAUCUCUCAAGAUCAAGCUCGUGAGUCUCUCAUCGCCAUCAUCUCUUACACCUUAUCGGUGAAGCAAGAGCCUCUAACCACCUCAGAUGUGAAACCUGUCGUCACCAUAAGAAACUCGGAAGAUGCGGAAGAGCUCAGAUCAGAGCUGAUUUCCAUCUCCGACCACGACUCACCGGAUGAACCUAUUUCCUCGACACCACCGCCCAACAGUAUCUGUCGUGGAUAGUAGUAAAUGUACAGCACCAAGUCUUUGCUUUUGUUUGGUCUAAAAGUAGACCAUUAAUGUCACAUAUGUAAACGUCUCUCAUCAAUCAAUAUAUCUUCUUUGUGUGCUUA
Brassica napus (rape) is the source of this 867-nucleotide long non-coding RNA. RefSeq lists it as uncharacterized. The transcript is spliced from 2 exons. The record is from RefSeq and is a predicted model, not a curated record. NCBI's taxonomy places the organism in Eukaryota, Viridiplantae, Streptophyta, Magnoliopsida, Brassicales, Brassicaceae.